AGUGAACGCUGGCGGUAGGCCUAACACAUGCAAGUCGAACGGCAGCACAGUAAGAGCUUGCUCUUACGGGUGGCGAGUGGCGGACGGGUGAGGAAUACAUCGGAAUCUACUUUUUCGUGGGGAUAACGUAGGGAAACUUACGCUAAUACCGCAUACGACCUACGGGUGAAAGCAGGGGCUCUUCGGACCUUGCGCGAUUGAAUGAGCCGAUGUCGGAUUAGCUAGUUGGCGGGGUAAAGGCCCACCAAGGCGACGAUCCGUAGCUGGUCUGAGAGGAUGAUCAGCCACACUGGAACUGAGACACGGUCCAGACUCCUACGGGAGGCAGCAGUGGGGAAUAUUGGACAAUGGGCGCAAGCCUGAUCCAGCCAUACCGCGUGGGUGAAGAAGGCCUUCGGGUUGUAAAGCCCUUUUGUUGGGAAAGAAAAGCAGCAGGUUAAUACCCCGCUGUUCUGACGGUACCCAAAGAAUAAGCACCGGCUAACUUCGUG
This 491-nucleotide ribosomal RNA is filed under the name uncultured bacterium. Its description in RNAcentral is "partial 16S ribosomal RNA". It matches the Rfam family "Bacterial small subunit ribosomal RNA", at positions 29 to 507 of the family's 1533-position model. The record is from RNAcentral.